GGUUCUAUAAAUUCCCCAACCCCAAGUGCAUAAGGGCUUAUGCUGACCCGCAGCAGAGAAGCACCAGCAAGCCCUGUAGCAUGGCAGUAUUCAGUUUCCUUCCACAGCAAUUACCGAGAUGCAUGAACAAAAGCCGUCUUCUGGAGAAACCAAACACCAGAAGUGGCAUUCAUUGGUUCCCACACAUGCACACAGCAGCUACUAUCAGAGGUGGAGUUUGUUGCCUAGGUUAUUCCAUACGCCGCCAGCCGGAGGGAGGGCGGCUGACUCUCAACGGUUCUGCACUUCAGGAGUCCUGUUCGGCAUUCAACUGUGGCCCGUGUGUCGUGUGCAAAAGAAGGAGGGAAGCAUGAACUGCAGGGCAGCCCUCAGAGAGAAGCAAUGUGGUCCCUUCUCCCCUUGUGUGUGCAGAGCAAGGUCAUCAUCGCGCAAGGCAGUUCAGCACAACUCCUGGCCUAACAAACGUUUUCACACUUCGCAAAAGACCGCAAGGCACAAAUCCCGCAGGUGUCGCUCUCAGAGGUUUGUCGUGAAAUCCUUUUGCGGUUCUUGGAGAGGACAAACUCCUUUUGAGGUUUUGCAAAAAUGAGCAAGAAUAUUAAAGAACUAAGGGAAGCGCUGCAAAGGCAAACCCAAGAGACCUUGAAACUGCAGGAAGAAGCAACCAAAUUCUCAGUGGAAUCCCUCACACGUCAAGGGUGUUCCUCUCCUUCAAACCUCUUGACAAAUUCAGAGAUACAGUUUUCAGCACCCUUAACAAACUACAGUUCCCAGAACGCAGCCCAUAUCUUGCUGCAGUUCAGACAAACACUACAACUUCCACAAGGUUAUUGUCUCUUGCUGUUGGCAUCUGCCUGUUAGGAUUCCUGCUCCAUGAUUGCAGUCAUAGGAUUGUUGUCUUUCACAUGACGGUAUAUGUUUUGACUCUACAGAGUGGGAAGUGAUGGAAACAGGAUGUUUGUGUUACUGUGUUCCAUGAAGUGGGACUAUUGUCCUUUGUUCUUUUUCUCUUUGCUGUCUGAUGCUAGAGAGAGAGGGAGCCAUGUUGCAGUGCUCCGUGUGUGUUUAUAUGUAAAUAAAGUAGAUUAGCCAAAAUGCUGAGUCACUGAGGUCUGUCACACAAGGUGCGCAAAUUCUGCGGAACCCUAAGUGUGCCGGUGUCGGUUGGCAUCAGGCGCUGUGAUGUUUGGGCUGAAGAAAGCUUAUGAAGCUCCCGAACGAUUGACCAAUAGGGAGGGAACAUGCCAGUCGGGCAUGUGUCUCUGCCAGGGUCCUACUCGAGUGUAGGCUGAACUCCUGACACUGCCUGCCUUGAGAGUUACUGGAAGAGUGUGCCACAGGAGGGUGAAGUCAAACUGUUGGAGAGUUACAGCGCCUGCUGUGGCUGUAGAGACCAAUACAGGAGGGACAUGUUUUGUUGCAGCUGGGGCAGAUGAAGGCAUCCAGUUGUGCUGCUGCAGAUGCACCGUGGUGUUUCAUCUCUCUCUGCGGUCCUCACAGCGGUCAUUCCUCCUCUGGUCACUAACCUGACUGCCUGUCUCCAGGCACUGCGGUCAUUUGCAAGGGUUCCCCACAUGGCAGGCUUGAUGUCUGCCAGCCUUCAUGUCAUGUUUGCACACAUCUUUGUAGCACAGAAUUGCUCUGCCAAC
Molecule: RNA transcript, 1649 nt
Organism: Podarcis raffonei (Aeolian wall lizard)
Lineage: Eukaryota; Metazoa; Chordata; Lepidosauria; Squamata; Lacertidae
Exons: 5
Source: RefSeq, a predicted model, not a curated record